RNAcentral lists this small nuclear RNA (110 nucleotides) under Dasypus novemcinctus (nine-banded armadillo). Lineage: Eukaryota; Metazoa; Chordata; Mammalia; Cingulata; Dasypodidae. The record is from RNAcentral.
UUGCUCACUUCAGCAGUACAUAUACUAAAAUUGGAACAAUACAGAGACGAUUAUUAGCAUAGUUCCUGAGCAAGGAUGAUACACAAAUUAGUGAAGUAUUCCGUAUUUUU